AGCAGCCGCGGUAACUCCAGCUCCAAUAGCGUAUAUUAAAGUUGUUGCAGUUAAAAAGCUCGUAGUUGGAUUUCGGGACCAUCAGGUUGGUCGUGCCUCUGGUAUGUACUUGCUUCGAUGGUCCCUCCUUCUUGAAGAACCGUAAUGCCAUUAAUUUGUUGUUGCGGGGAAACAGGACUGUUACUUUGAAAAAUUAGAGUGUUUAAAGCAGGCAAUCGCUUGAAUACAUUAGCAUGGAAUAAUGAAAUAGGACGUUCGAUCCUAUUUUGUUGGUUUCUAGGAUUGACGUUAAUGAUUAAUAGGGAUAGUUGGGGGCAUUAGUAUUCAAUUGUCAGAGGUGAAAUUCUUGGAUUUAUUGAAGACUAACUGCUGCGAAAGCAUUUGCCAAGGAUGUUUUCAUUAAUCAAGA
This 409-nucleotide ribosomal RNA is filed under the name uncultured Glomus. Its description in RNAcentral is "SSU rRNA". It matches the Rfam family "Eukaryotic small subunit ribosomal RNA", at positions 569 to 982 of the family's 1831-position model. The record is from RNAcentral. Lineage: Eukaryota; Fungi; Glomeromycota; Glomeromycetes; Glomerales; Glomeraceae.